UUCUGCGACUGCAAAACAUUAUAAAUGUCGUCUUCAAGCGAAACACAUGGUUCAAAGACGGCAACUACGGAAGUUUCAUCCUGAUGCACACUUCUGUGCAGCAUUGUUUCAUUAUGAACGAGAAUAUGCAAUUCGUUUUAGAGAUGUAUCUUUAUUUGCAUGUAUAGAUGACAAACAUAAAAUCAGUGUUGGAGAACCAAUUACCCAGUUGCUGCAGUGGAAAGAGGCAAGGAAGUUGUAGUUGUCUCUCAACAAAACGUUCAUAGUUGCAGAUCAUGAUUUCUCUAAGUUUAGCUUGACACCUAGUGUAGCUGUGAUUGUUAAUAUUCCACAAGCAAUUAAUGAGUGUUGGUACACAGGAGAUGUGUAUAUUGGUAUUAAAGACUCCGUUUUUCAACCAUCAUAUGCCAUUCGACAUGCAAAAGAGCUUUAUAGUAUUCUAGUUUCAAAAAUGGUGGGACGUCACAUUUUAUUUGUGUACUCUGAUGGGGGACCUGACCAUUGCCUUACUUAUAUUUCUGUACAAUUAUCUCUUGUUGCACUGUUCAAGAACUUAGAUCUCGAUGUCCUUAUUGCUGCAUGUACUUCACCAUAAUGUCAAUUAUAAAUCUUGGUCUACAAUGUGUUGGUAUCAUGAGGGGGAAGAUGGGUGACAAGUUUGAAAACAUUGUUUCUAACUGUAAUACUUUAAACGAACUCCGAGCAGGGUGUUGUGACCUCAAAAAUGAUGUUGAAGAAUCUUUAGCACCAGUCAAGGAACUCCUUUUUCUAAUGUUUUAAAACGCUUACAAUUAAGAGGUAAAAAUAUUGAAAUGUUUAAUAGCACAUCACAGUCCAAAAUUGAUGCUUUUUGGGAGGUUUUACUUUUAAUUGAUUCAACACUGACAACACAGAACACAACAAAAUCUGCUCCUACCAAGUUGACUUCUUUGAACAAUUAUAUUUCAACUGCUGUACAUGCAGUAAGUGUUCAAUCACCAUUAAGAAGUGUGGGAAACCUGAAUGUACCCUUUGCACUCCAGUCAAAAUGUCUUCAGAGCAAUUUUCAAAUCCUGUAAUUGGGGAGGAAGGGCAUUACAAAGAGUUUUCUGAAGUGUACGGUGCUAAUUUUUAAGAGAAUGAGCAAAAUCUUAGAUCUGUAAAGCCUUCGUUAAAGCAAAAAAAGGCACAAAGAAGACACUAGAUUACUCUUCCACUCAACAAAAUGUCAAAAACAUUGGAGUUCUCAUUCAAUGUGAAGAGUGUGAUAUGUAGAGAUUACUAUUUUCAAAAAGAAAGCAAGAUUUACUAAGUGAACACGAUUUACAAAAAGUGCUUCUAGAAGUUUCUUAUACGUGUGGAAUGUUGUUUGAUGAAAUUGAUCUUCCAGACAGUCUCAAGAGUGUUAAAGUAAAAGAGCACUUUUGUCAUGAUCCAACAGAAAAGUUGUACUAUUUAUCAGGAUACGAAACAAUUUGUUGCUAUUGUGGUAGCAGUUGUGAAGAUGACCCUGAUAACUAUCCUCAGUGUGUGCAGUGUCGUUCACAACCUCAAGUCAAAUAAGUUAAAAGAAAGGAAACUUAGUUCUAUUGUGUUUUGAUAAGAGUCAUCAAUAAUAAUUAA
Long non-coding RNA from Amphimedon queenslandica, 1602 nucleotides. RefSeq lists it as uncharacterized. The record is from RefSeq and is a predicted model, not a curated record. NCBI's taxonomy places the organism in Eukaryota, Metazoa, Porifera, Demospongiae, Haplosclerida, Niphatidae. The transcript is spliced from 2 exons.